Molecule: ribosomal RNA, 269 nt
Filed under: uncultured prokaryote
Description: partial 16S ribosomal RNA
Rfam family: Bacterial small subunit ribosomal RNA
Source: RNAcentral
UACGGAGAGUGCAAGCGUUGUUCGGAAUUACUGGGCUUAAAGGGCGUGUAGGCGGAGUGGAGGGUGUCUUGUGAAAGCCCCGGGCUUAACCCGGGAGGUGCAAGGCAAACCGCCAUUCUUGAGGCAGGUAGAGGUGACUGGAACAACUGGUGGAGCGGUGAAAUGCGUAGAUAUCAGUUGGAACGCCGGCGGCGAAAGCGAGUCACUGGGCCUGUCCUGACGCUGAGACGCGAAAGCGUGGGGAGCGAACAGGAUUAGAUACCCCUGUA